UUGCUCUUAUGAAGUUAGCGGCGGACGGGUGAGUAACACGUGGGUAACCUGCCCAUAAGACUGGGAUAACUCCGGGAAACCGGGGCUAAUACCGGAUAACAUUUUGAACUGCAUGGUUCGAAAUUGAAAGGCGGCUUCGGCUGUCACUUAUGGAUGGACCCGCGUCGCAUUAGCUAGUUGGUGAGGUAACGGCUCACCAAGGCAACGAUGCGUAGCCGACCUGAGAGGGUGAUCGGCCACACUGGGACUGAGACACGGCCCAGACUCCUACGGGAGGCAGCAGUAGGGAAUCUUCCGCAAUGGACGAAAGUCUGACGGAGCAACGCCGCGUGAGUGAUGAAGGCUUUCGGGUCGUAAAACUCUGUUGUUAGGGAAGAACAAGUGCUAGUUGAAUAAGCUGGCACCUUGACGGUACCUAACCAGAAAGCCACGGCUAACUACGUGCCAGCAGCCGCGGUAAUACGUAGGUGGCAAGCGUUAUCCGGAAUUAUUGGGCGUAAAGCGCGCGCAGGUGGUUUCUUAAGUCUGAUGUGAAAGCCCACGGCUCAACCGUGGAGGGUCAUUGGAAACUGGGAGACUUGAGUGCAGAAGAGGAAAGUGGAAUUCCAUGUGUAGCGGUGAAAUGCGU
RNAcentral lists this ribosomal RNA (628 nucleotides) under Bacillus sp. PSu3_44. RNAcentral's name for it is "bacterial SSU rRNA". It matches the Rfam family "Bacterial small subunit ribosomal RNA", at positions 80 to 691 of the family's 1533-position model. The record is from RNAcentral. Lineage: Bacteria; Bacillati; Bacillota; Bacilli; Caryophanales; Bacillaceae.